GUAACACCCCUCAUUUCCGAAUUUUCGUAUAAAUUUCUGGUGAUAAUGUAAGCAUCUAUUUUAAAUUGACAAAAGAAAUAGAGUAUGAAUCAGAGGUAACUUAUUUUUAAGAUUUGGGAGAUCUGUUCAAAAAAAAAAAGAAAGAAUCUGAGGACCUAUAUGUAAACCCUAAGGACCUAAUCGUGAAUAUGAUAAAAACAAGGAUUAAACUGCAAAACGCACAAAAUGACAAAUCCCACCGCUUAAGCCUCUCUGCCUUCGUUCUUAAGGAA
RNAcentral lists this long non-coding RNA (272 nucleotides) under Musa acuminata (dwarf banana). Its description in RNAcentral is "long non-coding RNA (MACU_LNC011165)". The record is from RNAcentral. Lineage: Eukaryota; Viridiplantae; Streptophyta; Magnoliopsida; Zingiberales; Musaceae.